UACGUAGGUGGCAAGCGUUGUUCGGAAUUAUUGGGCGUAAAGAGCUUGUAGGCGGCCUGUCGCGUCUGCUGUGAAAAUCCGGGGCUCAACCCCGGACUUGCAGUGGGUACGGGCAGACUAGAGUGUGGUAGGGGAGACUGGAAUUCCUGGUGUAGCGGUGAAAUGCGCAGAUAUCAGGAGGAACACCGAUGGCGAAGGCAGGUCUCUGGGCCACUACUGACGCUGAGAAGCGAAAGCAUGGGGAGCGAACAGG
This 253-nucleotide ribosomal RNA is filed under the name uncultured bacterium. Its description in RNAcentral is "partial 16S ribosomal RNA". It matches the Rfam family "Bacterial small subunit ribosomal RNA", at positions 524 to 776 of the family's 1533-position model. The record is from RNAcentral.